This 850-nucleotide non-coding RNA is filed under the name Pongo abelii (Sumatran orangutan). The record is from RNAcentral. Lineage: Eukaryota; Metazoa; Chordata; Mammalia; Primates; Hominidae.
GGGGGAGAAUGGGCAUCCCACCCCAGCACUUUCUAGGAAGAAGGGCAACAUUUUGAAGGGCUGGAAGUAGAGAAAGAAGGUUGCGGGUAGAAGACUCCAUACUUUCUGUGACGCCUAUUCCUUAGCUUGUGAUGAAUGUUUUCUCAGUAUCCUAUGCUGAAAACAGGUAGAUACUAAUCCCUCCUUCAAGGGAGGGCUGUUGAGUAUUGAAUAAGAUAAAAACAUGGAAGCAAUCAGCACAAUGCUGGAGAGCUUUUAUAUAACCAAAGAUAUUUUUGGACCAUGAAUUCGGAAAUUCUCGGAGCCACCCAUCAAUGCCUGAGCUUCAGUGAGUCCAUAUCCCAUGUCACCUACGGCAAAGGAGAAUCUGAGACUUCUGAAGAGUUUCUUGCUUCUUUCCUGUGGGGCAGUGACUCCACUUCCCAGCAGUAAUGGAAUAUCCUGAAUUAGCUACAUUAAUGUUAGAACCAUUUGGACCUCACCCAGGACUUCAACUACAUUGUGCUAAAGUUACAGAAUCCAAAUUUGGCAACUGCCUGCAUCUGAACAACAGAAGUUUCAACAUUCUGCCAACAGAGUAACUCCUGGACGACUGGCACAGAAGAAGGCACAAGGUUCUAGUAUGUUAGGUUUAUGUUCCCCUGCUUUCUACAAUCCUGUUCAAAGAGUUGCUGACUUAACCACAGAGAGAAUUCCAGAACAUGAGACACAGAAUAAACUUGAACAAUCAUAGUCCAUCCACUUCAUUUUCUCAUCGAAAACCAAAGGUCCAGUGAGGCUCUGGAACUCGACGCUGUAAAGGAGCGAAGGAGCAUCUAUACAGAACCUGGAUGCCUGUCUCCUUAUCCUA